GCGUAAAGAGCUCGUAGGCGGUUUGUCGCGUCUGGUGUGAAAACUCAAGGCUCAACCUUGAGCUUGCAUCGGGUACGGGCAGACUAGAGUGUGGUAGGGGUGACUGGAAUUCCUGGUGUAGCGGUGGAAUGCGCAGAUAUCAGGAGGAACACCGAUGGCGAAGGCAGGUCACUGGGCCACUACUGACGCUGAGGAGCGAAAGCAUGGGGAGCGAACAGGAUUAGAUACCCUGGUAGUCCAUGCCGUAAACGUUGGGCACUAGGUGUGGGGCUCAUUCCACGAGUUCCGCGCCGCAGCUAACGCAUUAAGUGCCCCGCCUGGGGAGUACGGCCGCAAGGCUAAAACUCAAAGGAAUUGACGGGGGCCCGCACAAGCGGCGGAGCAUGCGGAUUAAUUCGAUGCAACGCGAAGAACCUUACCAAGGCUUGACAUACACCGGAAUCAUGCAGAGAUGUGUGCGUCUUCGGACUGGUGUACAGGUGGUGCAUGGUUGUCGUCAGCUCGUGUCGUGAGAUGUUGGGUUAAGUCCCGCAACGAGCGCAACCCUCGUCCUAUGUUGCCAGCACGUCAUGGUGGGGACUCAUAGGAGACUGCCGGGGUCAACUCGGAGGAAGGUGGGGAUGACGUCAAAUCAUCAUGCCCCUUAUGUCUUGGGCUUCACGCAUGCUACAAUGGCCGGUACAAAGGGCUGCGAUACCGCGAGGUGGAGCGAAUCCCAAAAAGCCGGUCUCAGUUCGGAUUGGGGUCUGCAACUCGACCCCAUGAAGUCGGAGUCGCUAGUAAUCG
This 786-nucleotide ribosomal RNA is filed under the name Sanguibacter inulinus. RNAcentral describes it as "bacterial SSU rRNA". It matches the Rfam family "Bacterial small subunit ribosomal RNA", at positions 558 to 1344 of the family's 1533-position model. The record is from RNAcentral. Lineage: Bacteria; Bacillati; Actinomycetota; Actinomycetes; Micrococcales; Sanguibacteraceae.